UCCUCCCUCUGGCGGCGUGCUUAACACAUGCAAGUCGAACGGAAAGGCCCUGCUUUUGUGGGGUGCUCGAGUGGCGAACGGGUGAGUAACACGUGAGUAACCUGCCCUUGACUUUGGGAUAACUUCAGGAAACUGGGGCUAAUACCGGAUAGGAGCUCCUGCUGCAUGGUGGGGGUUGGAAAGUUUCGGCGGUUGGGGAUGGACUCGCGGCUUAUCAGCUUGUUGGUGGGGUAGUGGCUUACCAAGGCUUUGACGGGUAGCCGGCCUGAGAGGGUGACCGGCCACAUUGGGACUGAGAUACGGCCCAGACUCCUACGGGAGGCAGCAGUGGGGAAUAUUGCACAAUGGGCGGAAGCCUGAUGUAGCAACGCCGCGUGCGGGAUGACGGCCUUCGGGUUGUAAACCGCUUUCGCCUGUGACGAAGCGUGAGUGACGGUAAUGGGUAAAGAAGCACCGGCUAACUACGUG
RNAcentral lists this ribosomal RNA (468 nucleotides) under uncultured bacterium. RNAcentral describes it as "partial 16S ribosomal RNA". It matches the Rfam family "Bacterial small subunit ribosomal RNA", at positions 36 to 507 of the family's 1533-position model. The record is from RNAcentral.